AAAAGACUUAAAGAAAAUAUGGUGGAC
Molecule: small RNA, 27 nt
Filed under: Bombyx mori (domestic silkworm)
Lineage: Eukaryota; Metazoa; Arthropoda; Insecta; Lepidoptera; Bombycidae
Description: ovarian small RNA-9863
Source: RNAcentral